CGAAAUAUUAUUUAAAAAGUAACCAUAACUAUAUUGCCAAAUAAUUGUUUCUAAUUUUGAUGAUAGGUUAACUAUUUUCCGCAUUUAUAAAUGCCAUAAUAGCUCACAUUUACUCACGCACGUUUAUGGCAGUCAAGAAGCCUAUAUUUACCUACUUUUGGGCUCAAAAACAGCCCCACGCACACACAUACAUUUCCAAACAUAUUACACAACACACUAACUAACAUGCCAUUUCACAAGAAUUUGAAUAACUUGCCCAAACUCUUAGAUCCAUAAUUUCCUUAAACAGCAUGAAAUAAAGAAAUUCAUAUAACUUACUAGAAUCCCCACUUCUCUUGAAUUUACUGAGACUUAAUCAUCAAAAUAACACAAAAUCGCAAGAAAUUUUCUAUAUUUCUCAACUAACUCGCAAGACUAAUCUUUCCCCAAUUAGUAGCUUUUUUAUUUUAUUUUUUAUUUGUUCUCUUUUGUCCAAAAUUACCACCACCUAGUGAAAAUUCAAAAUAUUUAAACUCGAGAGUCUCCACAUAUUCAAUCCUAUCAAAUUUAUUUAAUUUUUUUUAGUAUUUUUAAUUAUCAAUUUUAGAAAUUUCAACU
RNAcentral lists this long non-coding RNA (597 nucleotides) under Populus tremula. Its description in RNAcentral is "long non-coding RNA (PTRE_LNC001353)". The record is from RNAcentral. Lineage: Eukaryota; Viridiplantae; Streptophyta; Magnoliopsida; Malpighiales; Salicaceae.